RNAcentral lists this ribosomal RNA (2903 nucleotides) under Enterobacter hormaechei. Its description in RNAcentral is "23S ribosomal RNA". It matches the Rfam family "Bacterial large subunit ribosomal RNA". Lineage: Bacteria; Pseudomonadati; Pseudomonadota; Gammaproteobacteria; Enterobacterales; Enterobacteriaceae. The record is from RNAcentral.
GGUUAAGCGACUAAGCGUACACGGUGGAUGCCCUGGCAGUCAGAGGCGAUGAAGGACGUGCUAAUCUGCGAAAAGCGCCGGCGAGGUGAUAUGAACCCUUGACCCGGCGAUGUCCGAAUGGGGAAACCCAGUGUGUUCCGACACACUAUCGUUAACUGAAUACAUAGGUUAACGAGGCGAACCGGGGGAACUGAAACAUCUAAGUACCCCGAGGAAAAGAAAUCAACCGAGAUUCCCCCAGUAGCGGCGAGCGAACGGGGAGCAGCCCGGAGUCUGAAUCAGCUUGUGUGUUAGUGGAACGGUCUGGAAAGUCCGACGGUACAGGGUGAUAGUCCCGUACACGAAAAUGCACAGGUUGUGAACUCGAAGAGUAGGGCGGGACACGUGGUAUCCUGUCUGAAUAUGGGGGGACCAUCCUCCAAGGCUAAAUACUCCUGACUGACCGAUAGUGAACCAGUACCGUGAGGGAAAGGCGAAAAGAACCCCGGCGAGGGGAGUGAAAAAGAACCUGAAACCGUGUACGUACAAGCAGUGGGAGCACCUUCGGGUGUGACUGCGUACCUUUUGUAUAAUGGGUCAGCGACUUAUAUUCUGUAGCAAGGUUAACCGUAUAGGGGAGCCGAAGGGAAACCGAGUCUUAACUGGGCGUUAAGUUGCAGGGUAUAGACCCGAAACCCGGUGAUCUAGCCAUGGGCAGGUUGAAGGUUGGGUAACACUAACUGGAGGACCGAACCGACUAAUGUUGAAAAAUUAGCGGAUGACCUGUGGCUGGGGGUGAAAGGCCAAUCAAACCGGGAGAUAGCUGGUUCUCCCCGAAAGCUAUUUAGGUAGCGCCUCGUGAACUCAUCUUCGGGGGUAGAGCACUGUUUCGGCUAGGGGGCCAUCCCGGCUUACCAACCCGAUGCAAACUACGAAUACCGAAGAAUGUUAUCACGGGAGACACACGGCGGGUGCUAACGUCCGUCGUGAAGAGGGAAACAACCCAGACCGCCAGCUAAGGUCCCAAAGUCAUGGUUAAGUGGGAAACGAUGUGGGAAGGCACAGACAGCCAGGAUGUUGGCUUAGAAGCAGCCAUCAUUUAAAGAAAGCGUAAUAGCUCACUGGUCGAGUCGGCCUGCGCGGAAGAUGUAACGGGGCUAAACCAUGCACCGAAGCUGCGGCAGCGACACUAUGUGUUGUUGGGUAGGGGAGCGUUCUGUAAGCCGUUGAAGGUGUGCUGUGAGGCAUGCUGGAGGUAUCAGAAGUGCGAAUGCUGACAUAAGUAACGAUAAAGCGGGUGAAAAGCCCGCUCGCCGGAAGACCAAGGGUUCCUGUCCAACGUUAAUCGGGGCAGGGUGAGUCGACCCCUAAGGCGAGGCCGAAAGGCGUAGUCGAUGGGAAACAGGUUAAUAUUCCUGUACUUGGUGUUACUGCGAAGGGGGGACGGAGAAGGCUAUGUCAGCCGGGCGACGGUUGUCCCGGUUUAAGCAUGUAGGCGGAGGUUCCAGGUAAAUCCGGUACCUUUUAACGCUGAGGUGUGAUGACGAGGCACUACGGUGCUGAAGUGAUAAAUGCCCUGCUUCCAGGAAAAGCCUCUAAGCAUCAGGUAACACGAAAUCGUACCCCAAACCGACACAGGUGGUCAGGUAGAGAAUACCAAGGCGCUUGAGAGAACUCGGGUGAAGGAACUAGGCAAAAUGGUGCCGUAACUUCGGGAGAAGGCACGCUGAUAUGUAGGUGAAGCCCCUGCGGGCGGAGCUGAAAUCAGUCGAAGAUACCAGCUGGCUGCAACUGUUUAUUAAAAACACAGCACUGUGCAAACACGAAAGUGGACGUAUACGGUGUGACGCCUGCCCGGUGCCGGAAGGUUAAUUGAUGGGGUUAGCGGCAACGCGAAGCUCUUGAUCGAAGCCCCGGUAAACGGCGGCCGUAACUAUAACGGUCCUAAGGUAGCGAAAUUCCUUGUCGGGUAAGUUCCGACCUGCACGAAUGGCGUAAUGAUGGCCAGGCUGUCUCCACCCGAGACUCAGUGAAAUUGAACUCGCUGUGAAGAUGCAGUGUACCCGCGGCAAGACGGAAAGACCCCGUGAACCUUUACUAUAGCUUGACACUGAACACUGGUCCUUGAUGUGUAGGAUAGGUGGGAGGCUUUGAAGCGUGGACGCCAGUCUGCGUGGAGCCAUCCUUGAAAUACCACCCUUUAAUGGCUGGUGUUCUAACGUAGACCCGUGAUCCGGGUUGCGGACAGUGUCUGGUGGGUAGUUUGACUGGGGCGGUCUCCUCCCAAAGAGUAACGGAGGAGCACGAAGGUUGGCUAAUCCUGGUCGGACAUCAGGAGGUUAGUGCAAUGGCAUAAGCCAGCUUGACUGCGAGCGUGACGGCGCGAGCAGGUGCGAAAGCAGGUCAUAGUGAUCCGGUGGUUCUGAAUGGAAGGGCCAUCGCUCAACGGAUAAAAGGUACUCCGGGGAUAACAGGCUGAUACCGCCCAAGAGUUCAUAUCGACGGCGGUGUUUGGCACCUCGAUGUCGGCUCAUCACAUCCUGGGGCUGAAGUAGGUCCCAAGGGUAUGGCUGUUCGCCAUUUAAAGUGGUACGCGAGCUGGGUUUAGAACGUCGUGAGACAGUUCGGUCCCUAUCUGCCGUGGGCGCUGGAGAAUUGAGGGGGGCUGCUCCUAGUACGAGAGGACCGGAGUGGACGCAUCACUGGUGUUCGGGUUGUCAUGCCAAUGGCACUGCCCGGUAGCUAAAUGCGGAAGAGAUAAGUGCUGAAAGCAUCUAAGCACGAAACUUGCCCCGAGAUGAGUUCUCCCUGAGACUUUAAGUCUCCUGAAGGAACGUUGAAGACGACGACGUUGAUAGGUCGGGUGUGUAAGCGCAGCGAUGCGUUGAGCUAACCGAUACUAAUGAACCGUGAGGCUUAACCUU